CCUACGGGAGGCAGCAGUAGGGAAUCUUCGGCAAUGGGGGGAACCCUGACCGAGCAACGCCGCGUGAACGAAGAAGUUAUUCGUAAUGUAAAGUUCUUUUAACAGGGAAGAAAGAGAAAUUUGACGGUACCUGAAGAAUAAGCUCCGGCUAACUACGUGCCAGCAGCCGCGGUAAUACGUAGGGAGCGAGCGUUAUCCGGAAUUAUUGGGCGAAAAGGGUGCGUAGAUGGCAUAGUAAGUCUUUUGUAAAAAUGCUGGGCGCAACCCAGUAGGGCAAAAGAUACUGCAAAGCUAGAGUAUGACAGAGGCAAGUGGAACUACAUGUGUAGCGGUAAAAUGCGUAAAUAUAUGUAAGAACACCAGUGGCGAAGGCGGCUUGCUGGGUCGAUACUGACAUUGAGGCACGAAAGCGUGGGGAGCAAACAGGAUUAGAUACCCUAGUAGUC
RNAcentral lists this ribosomal RNA (446 nucleotides) under uncultured bacterium. RNAcentral describes it as "partial 16S ribosomal RNA". It matches the Rfam family "Bacterial small subunit ribosomal RNA", at positions 338 to 795 of the family's 1533-position model. The record is from RNAcentral.